CCCUGCCCCCAUUACCCUAUGGGAGUUCCAAGGUUGCUCCUAUGGAAGGAGGGAGCUAAGGAGGAGGCCUGGCCUGAGCCAAAGGAUGAUUAUUACAACAUGGAUUGUGUACAUAAUAGCCCGGCAAAAAGCGGGAUUCUGCUUCCCACCAAAAACCAGUUCGGACAUUGAAGUUGUGGAAAGCGAGGCAGUGUCAGUGGUGCAACACUGGCUGAAAAAGACCGAAGAAGAGGCUUCCCAAGGUAUCAAACAAAAGAUGUCAAACUGUCCUCCAACUCAUGGUCAAGAAGUGCAUGUGACAAGAGAUGUGGUGAAACAUCAUAUUUCAAAAUCUGAUUUGUCAGCAAAUCGGAGCCAAGAGGUCCUUGAGGAGAGAACACGGAUCCAGUUCAUAAGAUGGAGUCACACUCGUAUCUUCCAAGUCCCAAGCGAAGUGAGAGAUGAGGCCAUGCGGGAGAGGAUAGAGCAGGUGAGAAGAAGCGUGUCUCAAGUUAUGGUUGAAUGUGCCCCCAGUGUUCAACCCUCAUUCACAGACUGCUAGAAUCCACAGUUCCCUUUGCCGAUUCUCCGUGCCAGUGCUCGCGGAGGAGUGAAGAGAAUUGACUCCCAGAAAAGAGGGAGCAGAAAGGGGCCCGUGGAGAGCAAGCUUUCUGGUGAAAUGUAAGAGGAACCUGAGUGUAAGACCAAGGGCUCCGCGUGGAGUUGAUUAACCAGCAGCCAGAAAGCGGGCAAAGUGGAAUUGAUAUUUCACAGAAAACGGGAGGAAGAAAAAAAAAAAAGAAAGAAAGCCAGACUCCACCAACCAACCAAACAAAUUGUUCAACAUGUUUUCCAAUUACUUGGCAGGCUCCAGA
RNA transcript from Sarcophilus harrisii (Tasmanian devil), 854 nucleotides. It is a transcript of the gene named spermatogenesis associated 19, with no coding region annotated. The record is from RefSeq and is a predicted model, not a curated record. The transcript has 8 exons. Lineage: Eukaryota; Metazoa; Chordata; Mammalia; Dasyuromorphia; Dasyuridae.